CACUAGCGGUAUAAGAAUGCUAGGAAACUGAGAGUUAUCGCCCUUCCGUUAGUGCCGCUUGUUGCCUAGCUACCGAUCUCAGCAAAACGACGCCAUUGUUGUUGCUACUGCAUAGAUCUGCUACAUCUCUCUGUUGUCAAUCAAUUUCUACCUUCGAUUUUGAACAUCGCUUGAGUUUUCAACAUGAUGUCAAGUAGUUAUGUUCAAGACAGGAUGUUUCACCAGGAUUUCACCCCUGCUGCCACUCCUGUCCCACAUCGAGUAGGUGUGCUAGGCUUGUAGAAACAGAAACAGAAUAAACGUGACAUUAAUUUU
This is a long non-coding RNA of Haliotis rufescens (red abalone), 315 nucleotides long. RefSeq lists it as uncharacterized. The transcript has 2 exons. Lineage: Eukaryota; Metazoa; Mollusca; Gastropoda; Lepetellida; Haliotidae. The record is from RefSeq and is a predicted model, not a curated record.